UACGUAGGGGGCUAGCGUUGUCCGGAAUCAUUGGGCGUAAAGAGCGUGUAGGCGGCCCGGUAAGUCCGCUGUGAAAGUCGGGGGCUCAACCCUCGAAUGCCGGUGGAUACUGUCGGGCUAGAGUGCGGAAGAGGCGAGUGGAAUUCCUGGUGUAGCGGUGAAAUGCGCAGAUAUCAGGAGGAACACCGGUGGCGAAGGCGGGUCUCUGGGCCGAUACUGACGCUGAGGAGCGAAAGCGUGGGGAGCAAACAGG
This 253-nucleotide ribosomal RNA is filed under the name uncultured bacterium. Its description in RNAcentral is "partial 16S ribosomal RNA". It matches the Rfam family "Bacterial small subunit ribosomal RNA", at positions 524 to 776 of the family's 1533-position model. The record is from RNAcentral.